This 86-nucleotide small nucleolar RNA is filed under the name Rosa chinensis. RNAcentral's name for it is "sRNA RchiOBHm_Chr6g0249311". It matches the Rfam family "Plant small nucleolar RNA SNOR75". Rfam says of the family: U15 is a member of the C/D class of snoRNA which contain the C (UGAUGA) and D (CUGA) box motifs. The record is from Rfam by way of RNAcentral. Lineage: Eukaryota; Viridiplantae; Streptophyta; Magnoliopsida; Rosales; Rosaceae.
UCUCUAUGAUGAUGAAAACAGAUGACUAGUCCGAUCCAUUCAUUCACUAAAUCAUGAGGACAAAAUGAGGCAAUUGUCUGAGAGAU